UUGUUCUCUGAGUGUCAUUCCUAAGACCAGAGUUUCCCCGGUGGAGGGUCAUUUGAGUCUGGUGAACGCGCAUAAAGAAGAGAAAACUCCAACUCUACGCGCAGCUCUGAUAUGGGUAGGGAUGUCCAGGAAUAUCAAUGGCGAAGGUGGCUUCGGGUCUGUAACUGACGCUGAGGUGCGAAAGCGAACGGAGCAAAUUGGAUUAGAUAUCCUUGGUAGUCCAUACGCUAAACAAUGAGUGAUAAGUGUUAGAGCGUUUCUGUCUUUCAGUGCUGCAGCUAACGCAUUAAGCACUCCGCCUGGGGAGUACGGUCGCAAGACUGAAACUCAAAGGAAUUGACGGGGGCCCGCACAAGCGGCGGAGCAUGUGGUUUAAUUCGAAGCAACGCGAAGAACCUUACCAGGUCUUGACAUCCUCUGACAACUCUAGAGAUAGAGCGUUCCCCUUCGGGGGACAGAGUGACAGGUGGUGCAUGGUUGUCGUCAGCUCGUGUCGUGAGAUGUUGGGUUAAGUCCCGCAACGAGCGCAACCCUUGAUCUUAGUUGCCAGCAUUUAGUUGGGCACUCUAAGGUGACUGCCGGUGACAAACCGGAGGAAGGUGGGGAUGACGUCAAAUCAUCAUGCCCCUUAUGACCUGGGCUACACACGUGCUACAAUGGAUGGUACAAAGGGCUGCAAGACCGCGAGGUCAAGCCAAUCCCAUAAAACCAUUCUCAGUUCGGAUUGUAGGCUGCAACUCGCCUACAUGAAGCUGGAAUCGCUAGUAAUCGCGGAUCAGCAUGCCGCGGUGAAUACGUUCCCGGGCCUUGUACACACCGCCCGUCACACCACGAGAGUUUGUAACACCCGAAGUCGGGUGGAGUAACCGUAG
RNAcentral lists this ribosomal RNA (872 nucleotides) under Priestia aryabhattai. RNAcentral's name for it is "bacterial SSU rRNA". It matches the Rfam family "Bacterial small subunit ribosomal RNA", at positions 576 to 1444 of the family's 1533-position model. The record is from RNAcentral. Lineage: Bacteria; Bacillati; Bacillota; Bacilli; Caryophanales; Bacillaceae.